Non-coding RNA from Schistosoma mansoni, 45 nucleotides. Lineage: Eukaryota; Metazoa; Platyhelminthes; Trematoda; Strigeidida; Schistosomatidae. The record is from Rfam.
CUGCAACUGGUCAGUCCCAAAUAGGACGAAACGCGCGUCCUGGAU